RNAcentral lists this unclassified non-coding RNA (21 nucleotides) under Chlamydomonas reinhardtii. RNAcentral's name for it is "small RNA Cre_0130". The record is from RNAcentral. Lineage: Eukaryota; Viridiplantae; Chlorophyta; Chlorophyceae; Chlamydomonadales; Chlamydomonadaceae.
AAGGCGUGCCUGCUAGGGCCC